GGGUUGUGAGGUUAAGCGACUAAGCGUACACGGUGGAUGCCCUGGCAGUCAGAGGCGAUGAAGGACGUGCUAAUCUGCGAUAAGCGUCGGUAAGGUGAUAUGAACCAUUAUAACCGGCGAUUUCCGAAUGGGGAAACCCAGUGUGAUUCGUCACACUAUCAUUAACUGAAUCCAUAGGUUAAUGAGGCGAACCGGGGGAACUGAAACAUCUAAGUACCCCGAGGAAAAGAAAUCAACCGAGAUUCCCCCAGUAGCGGCGAGCGAACGGGGAGCAGCCCAGAGCCUGAAUCAGUGUGUGUGUUAGUGGAAGCGUCUGGAAAGGCGUGCGAUACAGGGUGACAGCCCCGUACACAAAAAUGCACAUAUUGUGAGCUCGAUGAGUAGGGCGGGACACGUGGUAUCCUGUCUGAAUAUGGGGGGACCAUCCUCCAAGGCUAAAUACUCCUGACUGACCGAUAGUGAACCAGUACCGUGAGGGAAAGGCGAAAAGAACCCCGGCGAGGGGAGUGAAAAAGAACCUGAAACCGUGUACGUACAAGCAGUGGGAGCACGCUUAGGCGUGUGACUGCGUACCUUUUGUAUAAUGGGUCAGCGACUUAUAUUCUGUAGCAAGGUUAACCGAAUAGGGGAGCCGAAGGGAAACCGAGUCUUAACUGGGCGUUAAGUUGCAGGGUAUAGACCCGAAACCCGGUGAUCUAGCCAUGGGCAGGUUGAAGGUUGGGUAACACUAACUGGAGGACCGAACCGACUAAUGUUGAAAAAUUAGCGGAUGACUUGUGGCUGGGGGUGAAAGGCCAAUCAAACCGGGAGAUAGCUGGUUCUCCCCGAAAGCUAUUUAGGUAGCGCCUCGUGAAUUCAUCUCCGGGGGUAGAGCACUGUUUCGGCAAGGGGGUCAUCCCGACUUACCAACCCGAUGCAAACUGCGAAUACCGGAGAAUGUUAUCACGGGAGACACACGGCGGGUGCUAACGUCCGUCGUGAAGAGGGAAACAACCCAGACCGCCAGCUAAGGUCCCAAAGUCAUGGUUAAGUGGGAAACGAUGUGGGAAGGCCCAGACAGCCAGGAUGUUGGCUUAGAAGCAGCCAUCAUUUAAAGAAAGCGUAAUAGCUCACUGGUCGAGUCGGCCUGCGCGGAAGAUGUAACGGGGCUAAACCAUGCACCGAAGCUGCGGCAGCGACGCUGAUGCGUUGUUGGGUAGGGGAGCGUUCUGUAAGCCUGUGAAGGUGUGCUGUGAGGUAUGCUGGAGGUAUCAGAAGUGCGAAUGCUGACAUAAGUAACGAUAAAGCGGGUGAAAAGCCCGCUCGCCGGAAGACCAAGGGUUCCUGUCCAACGUUAAUCGGGGCAGGGUGAGUCGACCCCUAAGGCGAGGCCGAAAGGCGUAGUCGAUGGGAAACAGGUUAAUAUUCCUGUACUUGGUGUUACUGCGAAGGG
Molecule: ribosomal RNA, 1432 nt
Filed under: Shigella boydii
Lineage: Bacteria; Pseudomonadati; Pseudomonadota; Gammaproteobacteria; Enterobacterales; Enterobacteriaceae
Description: partial 23S ribosomal RNA
Rfam family: Bacterial large subunit ribosomal RNA
Source: RNAcentral